AUGAGUAGCUCGCGCUCUCGGGCGGCUGUGGUGGCCGAGGGUAAUGCCAAGACGGCAGCGAGGGAGUGGGUCGGGUGGGAGGAGGAGGUCGUGCUGGGGGACGACGACGGUGAGGAGCGCAAGGUGUGCUACUACCUCCUCUGCGCGGCUCCCCAGGACAGCGGUAAGAGCCAGAGGGAUCUGGCGUUGGUGGGUAAGUACUGGGGACCUGGGAACAUAGCCUACUCGGCGGACGUGCAGUUUCUGCUGUCCCUCGACACGGCGCUGGAGUCUGGGUCGGCAUCCGCUACGGUGGAGGCGCUGGCGUCGGAGAUCACCGAGCUCAGGUGGAAGUCCAGGAGGGAGAUCAUGGACUGGCUCACCUCGCUCGUCUCAGAUCCUCCGUAUGGAGCCUUUGGAUUGACUUGUCCCGACCAUCAUGAUGGUGGUAGCGCUGCAUCUAAGGGUAUCCUCGCUGCUUUUGGGGAAAACAAAGAAGGGUUCACAUGGAUAUGCAAACUACCCCAUCUUGAUCAACGUCGGAAGCAUUACAAAUCCUUUUGGCGAGGGAGACUGAGAAUUUCGGUUUAUGAUUUUGUGUUCAUCAAGAGUGAAGGGAGAGAGAGCCAUGUUGCCUAUGUGGAAGACAUGUACGAAGAUGCCAGCGAGAAGAAGAUGGUGGUGGCACGAUGGUUCGAGGAACAAGACGGUGAGCACGGUGCUGUAUUGCCCGCCGAUCUUUAUUGCAGGGAGAUCUUCUUUGGCUAUGUACUGCAAGAUCUGAGGGUUGAAGUUGUGGAGGCAGUGGCCCCGGUCCUGAAUCCAGAGCACUUUGAGAUGUUCAAGAAAAAAUAUGGAGGGCGCAGUAGCUGGCAGCCCUUUGUAUGCCGUCGGCAGAUCGAGAAUGACACAGUCGGGCCCUUUGACAUUGCGCAGCAGCUGCAAGGAUAUGCAAACCAGGAGAUUGUAAAGGCAAUUGUUGCCUCAUCCUCGUCGACGGUGGUGCAGGUCAAGCCACCUAAUAGCAACAAAGGUAAAGCUGCCACUACUCGCCUGGCCGCCGAGAACCAUGCUGGUUCUUCUAGUGCUGCCAUUAUCGGUAACAAAACCAUGGAGAAACAGAAGGCCCCUCCAUCUCCAUGUAGUGCAACUCCUUCAAGCUCUGUUGUUGGUGACAAGGCCAUGGAGAAGCAGAAGCCCCCUCCAUGCAGUGCAACUGCUUCCAGCUUUGUUUUCGUUGACAAAACCAUGGAGAAGCAGAAGCAGAAGCAGAAGCCCCCUUCAUGCAGCGCAACUCCUUCCAGCUCUGUUAUUGGUGACAAAACCAUGGAGAAGAAGAAGAAGCAGAAGCCACCUCCAUGCAGUGCAACUCCUUCAAGCACUACUGUUAUCGGUGACAAAACCAUGGAGAAGCAGAAGCCCCCUGCAUGCCGCGCAACUCCUUCCAGUUCCAGCGCUGUUAUGGGCGACAAAGCCAUGGAGAAGCAGAAGCAGAAGGAGAUGCCCCCUCCAUGCAGCGCAACACAACACAGUGUCACCAAUGGCCAGACCGUCGAAAGCAGUGUCGUUCCCCGCAGCGUGGUGAACUGUCAGACCACCGCGCAGAAUCAGCCGCCCCCGAGUGAUACUGGUAACGCAGCAGCCAGUGAUGCGUCAACCAUGGUGAACCCUGCUGAGAAGAUGCUCCAGCCCGGCAGCCGUCUUGAAGCCCUGAGCCAAGACAGCAGCGUGAGGGGCUGUUGGUUCAAAUGCGUGGUAGUCAAGAGGAACGAGCAAAAUAACACGAUCUGGGUGCGGUACCAAGACCUUCGAAAACCCGAGGGCAAAGGGCAGCUCAAGGAAUGGCUCAAAGUUGCAAGAACUGCGGAGCCUGACCGCCUGGGCAUACGCCUAGCCAAAAGGGCCAUGCUCCGCCCACAGCUCCCAUCACACUACAGGAAGAUCGAGUCUCCGGUGGAUGUCGGGGUCAUCGUCGACGCGCAGCUGAACGGCGGAUGGUGGGAGGGGAUCGUGCUGCAGCAGGAGACUGCUGGCCACGUCAAAGUUUAUCUCCAAGGGGAGGGGAGACUCGUGGAGUUCAAAGUGGACUCUCUGCGGAAGUCGUUUGAGUGGCGUGAGGAGCAGUGGAUGCCUCUGGAUGCAAGAACAGAUGUUGCAGCCAAGAUAACCCUUGACCUGAAGAAGAAGAAGAAGGCGGCCGCGGCCGCGCCAAGCCCAGCAGGACUGCUGCUGCAACCUCAGGAGGACGGAUCUGCAAGCUCUGUUCCUCCACGGAAGAGGAUCCUGGAACUGGAUCACUCUUUCGAGGAAGAAAGGCUGCAGGAUGGAAAGGGCAAGGGUCCUGCUGAUGAACCUGCCAAGACAGUUCCAGACAAGGGGGGUGCUGGAGAUGGCAUGUCCCGUGGCGGCGGCUCAGCUGGUGCCAAGCGCUGCCGGGUUGAUCCUGCAAACUCUGACGGCCUCAACUGCGCUGAAUGCAAGGGCAAGGCUGGGAAAUCUUCUGGCGUCAAGAAAAUGGGGUCUUCGGAGGGCAGCGGCAGCCAGGGAGGCGCCAGUGGCUCUGCCUCCAGUGGAGGCGCUGCGCCGGUGAAGCCAGCAGUGCCCAUGCAGGAGAUAUGCGUCACCAACGCAGAGGCUCCUGUCGUCGCCAUGGACGAAUCGGAGGUGAUCGAUCUCACCAUGUAUGACUGA
RNAcentral lists this ribosomal RNA (2670 nucleotides) under Triticum aestivum (bread wheat). RNAcentral describes it as "partial small subunit ribosomal RNA". The record is from RNAcentral. Lineage: Eukaryota; Viridiplantae; Streptophyta; Magnoliopsida; Poales; Poaceae.